ACAUUCUGCCUCUUUCGCCACUUUGAAUCAGAUUUAAGUAAUUCCCAAAAGCAAAAAUCAGAACAUGACGAUUUUAAAACCUGGGUUUUAUUUACCUAUAUUCCCACCUCCCACCAAAUAGAACAGAUGAAUACAUUAUUUUACCGAAACGGUUAGGGUUGGCAAACCUCACUCAUUCUUCCUUUUCUUUGAAAGAAAGCCUCAAGGACGACACCAGACAGACGGAAUGUGAAGAAACCAUCCCUUUAUUUGUGUGAAUCAGUCCAAACCAAAGUCAGAGUCGAAAGAGUUAAAAACAGGCAGUGCUCAAAACAGACCAAGCCCGAGGUUUCCUCCACCCGGCUGUGGGGUGAGAUCUACACGUUCACACCAGGUGGAGAGCACACCGAGCCCGAGGCGUGAGAGGGGCUCCAGAGACGUGACAUACGGUUAAAUAGCGGCAGUUACCAUGUCGCUCUUCCGGAUGUCCUUAUUUGGCGUUGGCAGAGCUGCUGAGCGUCUUGCGCACCGCCUGGGCGAUGGCGUCGCGGUCGAUGCCGAAGAGCCGCAGCAGCUCGUGGGGCUUGCCGCUGCGGGGCACCUGGGAGACCGCCAGGCGGUGAACAGUGAAUCCGGGUUCGUUCACCACCGCCGAGCACACGGCCUCGCCGAGCCCACCUGAAUGCAGAGCAGAGCCAAUUGAAAGUGACGGUUUGCGCCCAAAAUCGCUUUCUCUGUGCUCUAGUCGUCCAACAAAUCCUCCUGAAUUCAACUCGACUUCUCUGUCGGAGGGAUGUGAGGCGGAGUGACAGGCGUGACACCACCCUCCUGGGACUUUUUCACUCUUGUUCUCGCACUUUUAAGGUUAAAGAAGAGUGUGUGCUCAAAGCAAAAAAAAAUAAAUAAAUAAAAUAAAUAAAACUAGUUUGACUCCUUGUAUUUAUUGUUCCUGUUCAGAGAUAUUGUUAACACUUGGAAAAGAAAAAGUUAAGGGACUUCAAAAGAGGCAACAUCUUCAGCCUGACAGGCAACGUUAUUUCCAGCUACACCCAUAUCAGCCUGGUGACAGUGGCUUGCGAAACGUUGACCUUUUUUCACAUUUUGUGAUUACAACCACAGACUUGCAUGUAUUUUAUUGUGAUUUCAUGUGACAGACCAACACAGUGCAGUGGAAUAACUGUGACGUAAAAGAAACAUGCCUCAUUUUCACAUUUUUUCCAAGAUAGAAAUCUGAAUGAGAAAUCACUCAUUCUAUUAUGAUACAAAAGAAAAAAAUAAGAUGUGAAAACUUCUAAAGCUGGGUUAAGUUAAAAAACCACAAAACACAAAAAAGGAGCACAGCUCUGUUCAUGUUAUGGGAGAAUAACAAAACCUUAAAAUCUUAGUAUUGAGUCAGGGGUGCUAAACUCAAACCCGUGACACACUUUUCAGAUUUUUGUUUAAAAUAAAAGAUCUAAAUUGUGUAUCAUCCCCCCCACCACUUCUCAAUUACGUGGUAUUUUGUGUUGGUCAAUCACAUAAAAUGUUAAAAUGCUAAAAUCACCUGCAAAGUUUGUGGUAGAAAAAUAGGUUUGUGUGUCGCUUUGCAAGACGCUAUACAUGAGUGUUUCUGCUCGCCAUUCAUUAACAGCAAAACAGAUCAAAUAAAUGACAGGAACAGCAGUUUAAUCAAGAUAACCGAAAACGUAUACAAC
Molecule: long non-coding RNA, 1673 nt
Organism: Xiphophorus couchianus (Monterrey platyfish)
Lineage: Eukaryota; Metazoa; Chordata; Actinopteri; Cyprinodontiformes; Poeciliidae
Exons: 2
Source: RefSeq, a predicted model, not a curated record